Molecule: ribosomal RNA, 440 nt
Filed under: uncultured bacterium
Lineage: Bacteria
Description: bacterial SSU rRNA
Rfam family: Bacterial small subunit ribosomal RNA
Source: RNAcentral
UACGGGAGGCAGCAGUGGGGAAUAUUGCACAAUGGGCGCAAGCCUGAUGCAGCCAUGCCGCGUGUAUGAAGAAGGCCUUCGGGUUGUAAAGUACUUUUCAGUCGUGAGGAAGGUGUUAAGGUUAAUAACCUUAGCAAUUGACGUUAGCGACAGAAGAAGCACCGGCUAACUCCGUGCCAGCAGCCGCGGUAAUACGGAGGGUGCGAGCGUUAAUCGGAAUUACUGGGCGUAAAGGGCACGCAGGCGGUUAAUUAAGUUGGAUGUGAAAUCCCCGGGCUUAACCUGGGAAUGGCAUUCAAGACUGGUUAGCUAGAGUCUUGUAGAGGGGGUAGAAUUCCAUGUGUAGCGGUGAAAUGCGUAGAGAUGUGGAGGAAUACCGGUGGCGAAGGCGGCCCCUGGACAAAGGCUGACGCUCAUGUGCGAAAGCGUGGGGAGCAAAC